RNAcentral lists this ribosomal RNA (465 nucleotides) under uncultured bacterium. RNAcentral's name for it is "bacterial SSU rRNA". It matches the Rfam family "Bacterial small subunit ribosomal RNA", at positions 355 to 825 of the family's 1533-position model. The record is from RNAcentral.
UCGAGAAUCUUCGGCAAUGGGCGAAAGCCUGACCGAGCAAUGCCGCGUGCGGGAUGAAGGCCCUCGGGUUGUAAACCGCUGUCGUAGGGGAGAAAGGUCUCAUGAAGAAUGAGAUUUGAUCUAUCCUAGGAGGAAGUCCGGGCUAAGUUCGUGCCAGCAGCCGCGGUAACACGAACCGGACAAACGUUAUUCGGAAUUAUUGGGCUUAAAGGGUGCGUAGGCGGUGCGGUAAGUGAGGUGUGAAAGCCCUCGGCUCAACCGAGGAAUUGCGCUUCAUACUGCCGUGCUAGAGGGAGACAGAGGUAAGCGGAACUGAUGGUGGAGCGGUGAAAUGCGUUGAUAUCAUCAGGAACACCGGUGGCGAAAGCGACUUACUGGGUCUCUUCUGACGCUGAGGCACGAAAGCUAGGGUAGCGAACGGGAUUAGAUACCCUUGUAGUCCCUGAGCGGGCUGGCAAGGCGCAU